UAUCUAUGUGAUCCCCAGCGUUUGAAGGCUGACAAAUGGCUGCCGCGUUCACUCUGUCCACCCCUGCGGCGCUCCUCCCCCGUCACUCCGCCGCUGGCCCCUCCCUCUCCUUUCGCCUCGAAAGCAGGCGCCUGUCGCGGCGCGGGCAGUGCGCCGCCACACGGCGGGAUGACGGCUGCCCGCGUCGGUUGCCGGCAGCGGCCGUUGAGGCGACGUGCGGUCGGACAAGGAGAGCCACGGCCGUGGCGGCGGCCCAAGGCCAGGCGGAGGCCGAGAAUGGGACCGAGGGAUCGCUGCGGAUGGUCCUACUCAGCACCGCGGUGGCCGUGUGCGGGUCCUUCGAGUUCGGCACCUGUGUUGGGUAUUCUGCGCCGGCUCAAGCUGGAAUUGUGAGCGACAUUGGACUGUCCAAUUCUCAGUAUGGUGUGUUUGCAUCUAUCUUGGCAAUUGGUGCAAUGAUUGGCGCUCUGAUUAGUGGGCGUCUUGCAGACACUCUUGGACGCAAAAUGACCAUGCGGUUGGCAGCAGUUGUAGGCGUUUUCGGCUGGCUUACUAUAUACUUAGCUGAGGGUGCAAUGAUGCUCUACUUUGGAAGAGUCUUGCUGGGCAUCUGUACCGGACUUCUGUCCUAUGUGGUGCCUGUGUUCAUAGCUGAAAUAGCACCAAAGGAUCUUCGAGGAGGCCUUACAACGUCAAACCAGUUGUUCAUUUGUUCAGGGUGUUCAGCUGCUUACAUUAGUGGAGCACUGCUUUCAUGGCGCUCUUUGACUCUAGUAGGACUAGUCCCUUGCGCUUUCCUCUUUUGGGGGCUUCUCUUCAUUCCUGAGUCUCCAAGGUGGCUGGCCAAUACAGGGAGAGAGAAAGAAUUUCGUACUUCACUGCAAAAUCUUAGGGGUGAAAAUGCUGACAUAUCUGACGAGGCUACUGAGAUUAGAGAGUACAUUGAAACAGUUCACCACUUACCUAAGGCCAGGAUUCAAGAUUUGCUCCAGAGCAAAAAUAUGUUCGCAAUGAUUGUGGGUGCUGGUUUGAUGAUCUUUCAGCAACUGGGUGGAAUAAAUGCGAUAGGCUUCUAUACAAGCUACAUUUUUUCCUCUGCAGGAUUUUCUGGGAAACUUGGCACCAUCUUGAUUGGCGUUAUUCAGAUUCCAAUCACAUUAUUUGGGGCCCUUCUCAUGGAUAGGAGUGGAAGAAGAGCCCUUUUACUGGUCUCUUCAUCUGGAACAUUUUUGGGCUGCUUUCUGACUGGGCUAUCAUUCUACUUUAAGGCACAAGGAUUGCACACACAGUUGGUCCCUGCGUUGGCUCUUUAUGGCAUAUUGGUACACAAGUUACAAUAGUUGAAACUUCUACUCUACUAUGCAUACUACAUGGCAUACUCAAUUGGAAUGGGACCUAUUCCUUGGGUUAUCAUGUCUGAGAUAUUUUCAAUCGACAUGAAAGCAAUAGCUGGAAGCUUGGUAACCCUGGUUAGCUGGUUAGGUUCCUUUGCAAUUUCAUAUUCAUUCAGCUUCCUAAUGAAUUGGAAUUCUGCAGGCACCUUCUUUUUGUUCUCUGCAGCGAGCCUGGUCACUAUGUUGUUCGUGGCAAGGCUAGUGCCAGAAACUAAAGGGACAACACUCGAAGAGAUCCAAGAGUCAUUAAUGGGCGUGGGUUUGACAGAUUAAGAGGGAGACAAUGUAGGGAAUGUACAACAAUUUUUUCUGUAUGUAAGGAAAAAACUAGUACUCUAACAAAUUCGUCUGCUUGUCAAUCAAUUCCAGCCAUUUGAUAUGUGCAUUGUUACUUCUCUAGCGAGAUAAUUGUUGCUUAUUGUUGCAUUUUACCAUGUAUUGUCA
Brachypodium distachyon (stiff brome) is the source of this 1838-nucleotide RNA transcript. It is a transcript of the gene named sugar transporter ERD6-like 16, with no coding region annotated. NCBI's taxonomy places the organism in Eukaryota, Viridiplantae, Streptophyta, Magnoliopsida, Poales, Poaceae. The transcript is spliced from 18 exons. The record is from RefSeq and is a predicted model, not a curated record.